AAGUCUAUGUGGUCACCUUUGUUUUUUUUGUUUGUUUCUUUUUUGAGAUGGAGUCUCACUCUGUCACCCAGGCUGGAGUGCAGUGGCACGAUCUCAGCUCACUGCAAGCUCCGCCUCCCAGGUUCACAGCAUUCUCCUGCCUCAGCCUCCUGAGUUGCUGGGACUACAGGCGCCCACCACCACACCCGGCUAAUUUUUUUGUGUGUAUUUUUUUAGUAGAGAUAGGGUUUCACCGUGUUAGCCAGGAUGGUCUCGAUAUCCUGA
This 264-nucleotide long non-coding RNA is filed under the name Homo sapiens (human). RNAcentral describes it as "non-protein coding lnc-PAM16-6:1". Lineage: Eukaryota; Metazoa; Chordata; Mammalia; Primates; Hominidae. The record is from RNAcentral.